This 429-nucleotide ribosomal RNA is filed under the name Triticum aestivum (bread wheat). RNAcentral's name for it is "partial small subunit ribosomal RNA". The record is from RNAcentral. Lineage: Eukaryota; Viridiplantae; Streptophyta; Magnoliopsida; Poales; Poaceae.
AUGUUCCCAUUGUGCUCUCUCAAGGCGGUCACUCGGAUUGGCUCCGACCAUACCCCCCUGCUUUUCUCGUCGGGCGAUGUGUCUCCCCCUAGGACCCGCCGUUUCCGCUUUGAGACUUUUUGGCUGGAGCAGCCGGGCUUCUUUGAGUUGGUGCGCGACCGCUGGCUAGAGGCGGUCGCGUCCCCGCCUAGUGUGUUUUGUGCUGUGGAUGUGUGGCAUCACUGUGCUAAAUUGUCUCGUCAGGCCAUGAAGGGUUGGGGGGCGAACCUUGGUGCUGAGCUGCGAUCCCGUAAGGGGACCCUGCUGGAUCAGAUUAAGGUUUUGGAUGACCUUGCUGAUAGGCAGGGCCUGUCUCCUGACGACUGGCUUAGGAGAUACGGCCUCGAGGCCUCGCUCAUGGACAUCUACAAGAGCGAGGAGCUCUUCUAG